GUUCUUGCUUUGAGAGUACAUACACUAACAUCGAAAUGAUACAGAGAAUAUUAGCAUGCCCCCCAUACAAAGAUAACAUGAAAAUUCAUCAAGCAUUCCACAUUUUU
This 107-nucleotide small nuclear RNA is filed under the name Propithecus coquereli (Coquerel's sifaka). Lineage: Eukaryota; Metazoa; Chordata; Mammalia; Primates; Indriidae. The record is from RNAcentral.